Zootermopsis nevadensis is the source of this 521-nucleotide non-coding RNA. Lineage: Eukaryota; Metazoa; Arthropoda; Insecta; Blattodea; Termopsidae. The record is from RefSeq and is a predicted model, not a curated record.
AGGACACCAAACUACGAUUACAGCUAAAUGACAAUCAGGAAAUGACAGCAAGGCUGCACGAAGGCCUUGGCAGUGGACUUUGGAUCAAAACGACCUUGUUUCCGAAGCGUCUUCGCAUUCGUCUUGCCACCAGGACAGAACAGCGCGAUGUAGGAAGGUGCGUGCAUCACUGCCGAGAGAUCUGUGAGAGACCAGAUUUCUGGCCAAGGUUAACUGUCGCAUCGGCGGCCUCGUUGCUAGGCAGGCCAGAGUGUCCAGGCGCCCGAUAAAACACAGCAGCUUUCCGGAAUUCUUAUUAUGAAAGUUAAGACAUUGACUUGUAACUAUAACACACAAAUAUACAAUUUUUUAACGUUGAAUAACGUUUAUGAAAUAACGGUACACUCGACGGAAACUGUAAGACGUAAGGUAACGCUGGUGUGUAACUUCUUCAAACGCCAAUAACUCGAGACCUAUGUAAGAUAGAGAAUAUAAAUCUAUAUGUAAAUUAAAGAGUAUAUAAAGGGCUUUUUCUACACGAU